RNAcentral lists this ribosomal RNA (444 nucleotides) under uncultured bacterium. RNAcentral's name for it is "bacterial SSU rRNA". It matches the Rfam family "Bacterial small subunit ribosomal RNA", at positions 958 to 1398 of the family's 1533-position model. The record is from RNAcentral.
AACGCGAAGAACCUUACCAACCUUUGACAUGUCCAGUAUGGGGCUAGGAGACUAGCCCCUUCAGUUCGGCUGGCUGGAACACAGGUGCUGCAUGGCUGUCGUCAGCUCGUGUCGUGAGAUGUUGGGUUAAGUCCCGCAACGAGCGCAACCCUCAUCUUCAGUUGCCACCGGGUAAGGCCGGGCACUCUGGAGAAACCGCCGGUGAUAAGCCGGAGGAAGGCGGGGAUGACGUCAAGUCCUCAUGGCCCUUACAGGUUGGGCUACACACGUACUACAAUGGUGGUGACAGUGGGUUGCGAAGCCGCGAGGUGGAGCCAAUCCCCAAAAGCCAUCUCAGUUCAGAUUGUACCCUGCAACUCGGGUGCAUGAAGUUGGAAUCGCUAGUAAUCGCAGAUCAGCACGCUGCGGUGAAUACGUUCCCGGGCCUUGUACACACCGCUAGUC